GUUGUAAGCUCUCUGAUAUUGGCGUGGUUAGCACUACCUCAACCCAACUGAUGGCCACACUUUAGAUGUGCAGGAAAUGGAUCUUGGAAACAAAGACCUAAACAGGGAUAAAAUUUACUUGAUUUGUCAAAUAGUCCGUGUCGGCAAGAUGGAUCUUAAGGAUACUGGUGCAAAGAAGUGCACACAGGGACUGAGGAGGCCGUUUGGGGUGGCAGUUAUGGAUAUAACAGACAUCAUCAAGGGGAAAGCAGAGAGUGAUGAAGAAAAGCAGCACUUCAUUCCUUUUCACCCGGUUACAGCUGAGAAUGACUUCCUACACAGCCUGCUGGGCAAAGUCAUAGCCUCCAAGGGGGACAGUGGAGGGCAAGGCCUCUGGGUGACCAUGAAGAUGCUG
Molecule: small RNA, 394 nt
Filed under: Pongo abelii (Sumatran orangutan)
Lineage: Eukaryota; Metazoa; Chordata; Mammalia; Primates; Hominidae
Description: processed transcript
Source: RNAcentral